GAAUUGACGGGGCCCGCACAAGCGGUGGAGUAUGUGGUUUAAUCGAUGCAACGCGAAGAACCUUACCUGGUCUUGACAUCCCGGAGACCCUUAGGAAACUAGGGGGUGCUUCCAUCUGGAAGAAUCUGGAGACAGGUGCUGCAUGGCUGUCGUCAGCUCGUGUCGUGAGAUGUUGGGUUAAGUCCCGCAACGAGCGCAACCCUUGCCUUUAGUUGCCAGCAGUUCGGCUGGGCACUCUAAAGGGACUGCCGGUGUUAAACCGGAGGAAGGUGGGGAUGACGUCAAGUCCUCAUGGCCUUUAUGACCAGGGCUACACACGUACUACAAUGGCCGAUACAAAGGGCAGCGACACUGCGAGGUGAAGCCAAUCCCGUAAAAUCGGUCUCAGUCCGGAUUGGAGUCUGCAACUCGACUCCAUGAAGUUGGAAUCGCUAGUAAUCGUGGAUCAGCAUGCCACGGUGAAUACGUUCCCGGGCCUU
RNAcentral lists this ribosomal RNA (479 nucleotides) under uncultured Desulfobulbus sp. Its description in RNAcentral is "bacterial SSU rRNA". It matches the Rfam family "Bacterial small subunit ribosomal RNA", at positions 907 to 1382 of the family's 1533-position model. Lineage: Bacteria; Pseudomonadati; Thermodesulfobacteriota; Desulfobulbia; Desulfobulbales; Desulfobulbaceae. The record is from RNAcentral.